Molecule: non-coding RNA, 31 nt
Filed under: Homo sapiens (human)
Lineage: Eukaryota; Metazoa; Chordata; Mammalia; Primates; Hominidae
Source: RNAcentral
UCCCAGAGCAAGGGGUGUGUGCAGCUGCCUA